GGCCUUUUGGGAGCUCACUGGCUUCGGAUUCCGUAGGAACUCUGAAGUUAAGCGAGUUCGCGUGAGAGCAAUCCCAGUAUGGGUGACCCACUAGGAAGUUCUCGUGUGAGUUCCCAGAAAUAAAACCGUGAGAGUGUGGUCGGGGCCCAAAGAGAACAAUAUCGUGCUACGGUGGAGUCGAGCCCGAGAUGUGGUGGGGGCCUAGGCCGAGAUGUGACAAUUUGGUAUCAGAGCCAAUACAUAGCUGGAAGUGUGCCGACGAAGACAUCGGGCCCUAAAAGGGAGGAUUGUAACAUCUCACAUCGCUCAAGGGAGUGGAUCAUCUAAGCCUUAUAUGUGUAUUCCCAUCUUUACCUAGCACGAGGCCUUUUGGGAGCUCACUGGCUUCAGAUUCCGUAUGAACUCCGAAGUUAAGCGAGUUCGCGCAAAAGCAAUCCCAUGAUGGGUGACCCACUGGAAAAUUCUUGUUGGUGGAGCCG
Molecule: small RNA, 479 nt
Filed under: Malus domestica (apple)
Lineage: Eukaryota; Viridiplantae; Streptophyta; Magnoliopsida; Rosales; Rosaceae
Source: RNAcentral